This 2702-nucleotide ribosomal RNA is filed under the name Clostridioides difficile. RNAcentral describes it as "partial 23S ribosomal RNA". It matches the Rfam family "Bacterial large subunit ribosomal RNA". The record is from RNAcentral. Lineage: Bacteria; Bacillati; Bacillota; Clostridia; Peptostreptococcales; Peptostreptococcaceae.
UGGUCAAGUUAUUAAGGGUGCAGGGCGGAUGCCUUGGCACUAGGAGCCGAUGAAGGACGUGAUAAGCUGCGAUAAGCUUCGGGGAGUUGCACGUAAACUUUGAUCCGAAGAUUUCCGAAUGAGGAAACUCACUUAGAGUAAUGUCUAAGUAUCAUUAAGUGAAUACAUAGCUUAAUGAGGGGAACUCAGGGAACUGAAACAUCUAAGUACCUGAAGGAAGAGAAAGAAAUUCGAUUCCGUAAGUAGCGGCGAGCGAACGCGGAUUAGCCCAAACCAAUAAAGUUUUCUUUAUUGGGGUUGCGGACAUAUCAUAACGAAGAGGUAUCGUAAUUGAAGAGGUUUGGAAAGACCCACCACAGAAGGUAAUAGUCCUGUAUGUUAAACGAGAAGACUUUAGAUAUGAUCCAGAGUACCACGGGACACGUGAAACCCUGUGGGAAGCAGGAGGGACCACCCUCCAAGGCUAAAUACUACCUAGUGACCGAUAGCGUAUAGUACCGUGAGGGAAAGGUGAAAAGAACCCCGGGAGGGGAGUGAAAUAGAACCUGAAACCCUGCACUUACAAGCUGUGGAAGCACAUUUCUUGUGUGACCGCGUACUUUUUGUAGAACGGGCCAACGAGUUACGUUAAGUAGCAAGGUUAAGCACUUAAGGUGUGGAGCCGUAGCGAAAGCGAGUUUUAACUGAGCGUUCAGUUACUUGACGUAGACCCGAAACCGGGCGACCUACCCAUGAGCAGGAUGAAGCGAAAGUAAAAUUUCGUGGAGGUCCGAACCCACGAGCGUUGAAAAGCUCGGGGAUGACUUGUGGGUAGCGGUGAAAUUCCAAUCGAGCCCGGAGAUAGCUGGUUCUCCCCGAAAUAGCUUUAGGGCUAGCCUCAAGGUGAGAGAUACGGAGGUAGAGCACUGAAUGUCCUAGGGGGUAUUGCACCUACCGAAGACUAUCAAACUCCGAAUGCCGUCAUCUUAUACUUGGGAGUCAGACUGUGGGUGAUAAGAUUCAUAGUCGAAAGGGCAACAGCCCAGAUCGUCAGCUAAGGUCCCUAAAUGUAAGUUAAGUGGUAAAGGAUGUGGGAUUGCACAGACAACCAGGAUGUUGGCUUAGAAGCAGCCACUCAUUCAAAGAGUGCGUAAUAGCUCACUGGUCGAGUGAUCCUGCGCCGAAGAUUUCCGGGGCUAAAACUUACUACCGAAGCUACGGCAUCAGUAAUGAUGGGUAGGGGAGCUUCCCAUACGGGUUGAAGCAUGACCGUAAGGACAUGUGGACAGUAUGGGAGUGAGAAUGUUGGCAUGAGUAGCGAGAUGUGGGUGAGAAUCCCACAGGCCGUAAACCCAAGGUUUCCAGGGGAAGGUUCGUCCGCCCUGGGUUAGUCGGGACCUAAGCUGAGGCCGAAAGGCGUAGGUGAUGGACAACAGGUUGAUAUUCCUGUACUACCGAUAACCGUUUGAGAGAAGGGAUGACACAGUAGGAUAAGCUAAGCACACUGUUGGUUAUGUGUGCCCAAGCAUUGAGGCAGUCAAAGUAGGCAAAUCCGCUUUGAUAAUGCUGGGAUGUGAUGGGGAGCGAAAUUUAGUAGCGAAGUAGCUGAUUUCACACUGUCAAGAAAAGUCUCUAUCGAGGUUAAAGGUACCCGUACCGCAAACCGACACAGGUGGGUGAGGAGAGUAUCCUAAGGCCAGCGAGAGAACUGUUGUUAAGGAACUCGGCAAAAUGACCCCGUAACUUAGGGAUAAGGGGUGCCACCAUCAGGUGGCCGCAGAGAAUAGGCCCAAGCGACUGUUUACCAAAAACAUAGGUUUCUGCUAAGUCGCAAGACGAUGUAUAGGAGCUGACGCCUGCCCGGUGCUGGAAGGUUAAGGGGAUCUGUUAGAGCAAUCGAAGCAGUGAACUUAAGCCCCAGUAAACGGCGGCCGUAACUAUAACGGUCCUAAGGUAGCGAAAUUCCUUGUCGGGUAAGUUCCGACCCGCACGAAAGGCGUAACGAUUUGGGCACUGUCUCAACAACAGACUCGGUGAAAUUGUAAUUCCGGUGAAGAUGCCGGAUACCUGCGACAGGACGGAAAGACCCCAUGGAGCUUUACUGUAGCUUGACAUUGGGUCUUGGUACUACAUGUACAGGAUAGGUGGGAGGCUUUGAAACCAGGACGCCAGUUUUGGCGGAGCCAUCCUUGGGAUACCACCCUUGUAGUACUGGGACUCUAACCAUAGGCCAUGAAUCUGGUCUUGGGACACUGUCAGGUGGGCAGUUUGACUGGGGCGGUCGCCUCCCAAAAGGUAACGGAGGCGCUCAAAGGUUCUCUCAGUACGGUCGGAAAUCGUACGUAGAGUGUAAAGGCAAAAGAGAGCUUGAUUGCAAGACAUACAGGUCGAGCAAGGAUGAAAAUCGGACUUAGUGAUCCGGUGGUUCUGCGUGGAAGGGCCAUCGCUCAACGGAUAAAAGCUACCCUGGGGAUAACAGGCUUAUCUCCCCCAAGAGUCCACAUCGACGGGGAGGUUUGGCACCUCGAUGUCGGCUCAUCACAUCCUGGGGCUGUAGUAGGUCCCAAGGGUUGGGCUGUUCGCCCAUUAAAGUGGUACGCGAGCUGGGUUCAGAACGUCGUGAGACAGUUCGGUCCCUAUCCGUCGCAGGCGUAGGAAAUUUGAGAAGACCUGUCCUUAGUACGAGAGGACCGGGAUGGACGUACCUCUGGUGUACCAGUUGU